AGAACGAACGCCGGCGGCAGGUCUUAGGCAUGCAAGUCGAACGGAUGACAAGGGAGCUUGCUUCCUUGAAGUCAGUGGCGCACGAGUGAGUAACGCGUGGGAAACUGCCCUUCACUGGGGAAUAACGUUUGGAAACGAACGCUAAUACCGCAUACGCCCGCAAGGGGAAAGAUUUAUCGGUGAUGGAUGUGCCCGCGUUGGAUUAGCUAGUUGGUGGGGUAAUGGCCUACCAAGGCGAUGAUCCAUAGCUGGUCUGAGAGGACGAUCAGCCACGCUGGAACUGAGACACGGUCCAGACUCCUACGGGAGGCAGCAGCUAAGAAUAUUGGGCAAUGGAGGAAACUCUGACCCAGCCCAUGCCGCGUGAAUGAAGAAGGCCUUCGGGUUGUAAAGUUCUUUUAGUCAUGAAGAUGAUGACAGUAGUGGCAGAAAAAGCACCGGCUAACUUCGUGCCAGCCGCGGC
This 463-nucleotide ribosomal RNA is filed under the name uncultured bacterium. RNAcentral's name for it is "bacterial SSU rRNA". It matches the Rfam family "Bacterial small subunit ribosomal RNA", at positions 26 to 518 of the family's 1533-position model. The record is from RNAcentral.